This 512-nucleotide ribosomal RNA is filed under the name uncultured bacterium. RNAcentral describes it as "bacterial SSU rRNA". It matches the Rfam family "Bacterial small subunit ribosomal RNA", at positions 9 to 517 of the family's 1533-position model. The record is from RNAcentral.
GAGUUUGAUCGUGGCUCAGAUUGAACGCUGGCGGCAGGCCUAACACAUGCAAGUCGAGCGGUAGAGAGAAGCUUGCUUCUCUUGAGAGCGGCGGACGGGUGAGUAAUGCCUAGGAAUCUGCCUGGUAGUGGGGAUAACGCUCGGAAACGGACGCUAAUACCGCAUACGUCCUACGGGAGAAAGCAGGGGACCUUCGGGCCUUGCGCUAUCAGAUGAGCCUAGGUCGGAUUAGCUAGUUGGUGAGGUAAUGGCUCACCAAGGCGACGAUCCGUAACUGGUCUGAGAGGAUGAUCAGUCACACUGGAACUGAGACACGGUCCAGACUCCUACGGGAGGCAGCAGUGGGGAAUAUUGGACAAUGGGCGAAAGCCUGAUCCAGCCAUGCCGCGUGUGUGAAGAAGGUCUUCGGAUUGUAAAGCACUUUAAGUUGGGAGGAAGGGCAGUAAAUUAAUACUUUGCUGUUUUGACGUUACCGACAGAAUAAGCACCGGCUAACUCUGUGCCAGCCGCCG